Molecule: long non-coding RNA, 2012 nt
Organism: Echinops telfairi (small Madagascar hedgehog)
Lineage: Eukaryota; Metazoa; Chordata; Mammalia; Afrosoricida; Tenrecidae
Exons: 3
Source: RefSeq, a predicted model, not a curated record
AGCAUUGCCGUAUCCACCCUCCCCUCCCCAGAGCUGGCCGCCAAACAAGUCACCCUCAGAGCGGAGAGGGACAAUAGCAAGAGUGAAGGAAACCACGGGUCCAAAGGGCUCCUGCACCACCUGAACCAAAGCUGCCUACUCUGAGACCCGGAGAACGAGAUGGUGUCCUGAUUCUCACUCCGACCACUCGGAUCAGGAUCACGAUAGAAGAAGGUGCUGGACAGAGGGGGAGACAGAUGUAGACCGUCAUUCAAAAAUCAUCAAGACCCCAGUCAGGGAUCACAGGCCUGUACAGGGAGCGAUGACAUGUGUGCACCUCCAGAUGAAUCAACCAAAUGAAACCUGGAAACAAGGCUUCCAGAAGAGCUCAUGGCUCCCUUGCUGACGUCAACUCAAGCAUGUCCCCUCCCCAGGAACCUGAAAAAACCUAACGCAAGCUCCAUGACUUCCAGGCAUUUUGCCCCCUGAACCAGGCGAGGGCCAUACCUGCCCUCAGGGUCAUCUUGAUAGACCAAGAUCCAGCAGAGGACCCGUCCCAGCUGAGAUGGAGAAACAGGAUUUCCUGGUGCUGGAGUUCUGCGUUUUUCCCAGGACCUUGAAGGAAAGGUCUGACUUCCAGGGCUUCAGACAUGGAGGUCAUCUGGGAAUAUGGUUAGGAAUGCAGCCCUCCCACCUCCACCUGUUGAACCAGAAUUUGCAUCUUCACAAAUCCUCAAGCAUUGCACCUGUGCUGUAAAGCUUGAGACAAUGGAGGCAGGAGGUAGAGGGCAGGGACAGGUUGGGAGGACAGAUGUCAGGGCGGCUGAGCUGAAAUGAAAAGAUCUCACACCUGGCUGACUGCCCUGAUCCUCGGUGGUGGUUUAGAAACCAAAUCCUGAAGCUCAGCAUGCGGCCGGGAGCAACGACGGAGGUCCACAUCUCCAUGGCUUGACCCCAGACUCCAGAAUGUUCUAUAAGCAUCUCUGGCGAUGUUAGCGGGCAGUUGGCCUUGGCUACCCAGUGUGGCUGUCGCAGAACAACAACAAAGGAGCGCCUUGAACGAACACAUUUCUCUCCUCAGCACAUCUCAGCUCCGGCUCCUCGGCUCGGCUUCCUCACUCGCUUGUUGAGUCAUAUCUCAAAAGAAACCGACUCAGAUACAUCCUGCACCAAUUCUCCUUCCUUAAACAUAAGACAGACCACCCCUUCCCUAAUGGAUUAAAACUCCAAGCCUACCUACCCGCUCUCUUUGAGGCUGGCUCACAAUGACCCUGUGGCUUGGUGGGGUAAGUGGGGAGCCCACAAAGCUCAAUCCAUAUUAGGUGAGGGUUUCUUAAGCUGUGCUCUGAGCGCUAUCUGCAUUCAAACCACUUGGAGGUGGGGAGGUGUUCUUAAAUAUGCGGAUUCCGGGAAACCUACAUCAGGCCUUUGCGUCUGAACUUCCUAGUGUGGGCCCCGGGGAAUCCACAGUGUUCGCCAUCUCACCUGGUUGCUUUGAACACACACUGAUCAUUGAGACCAUUGGGUUAGCAUCCUAGAUCGGCGACCAUGGCAAGAAGCUUUUUUUAAAUGCAAUAAAUAACAAAACCAGAAACCCUAAGUCCAGGGCUCUCAGGUGGAUUCUGACUCAAAGGAGCCCUAUAAUAGGGCAUAGUGGACCUGCCCCCUUCCAAGGCUGUAAACCUUUAGGGUCGAAGUCUAUCCCAUCUGUGUCCCAUGGAAAGGCCGGUCGGUUCAAACUGACUAUCUGUUAACAGCUAAAAGCUUAACUUCUGGCCACCAGGGUUCCUUCCCUCACAGGUUCGAAUAAUGUGUGAACAGGAGAAGACACAGCUAUGCCCCAAUACAAGACAACAACAAAUCACCAUCCCCUACCUCCCAGACACUCGGGAGGCCCCAUGGGUACCCAGGGAAUGUGCCCCCCACAUGCAGAGGUCAUUUGUGAUUUGGGCUCUCUUCUGUUGGCAGGGUGGAGCCUGUCAUCUGGCCCGGACAGAAUUAUUGCCUCAAAUUACAUGGUUGAUUAUCAAUUA